UACGGAGGGGGUUAGCGUUGUUCGGAAUUACUGGGCGUAAAGCGCGCGUAGGCGGACCAGAAAGUUGGGGGUGAAAUCCCGGGGCUCAACCCCGGAACGGCCUCCAAAACUCCUGGUCUUGAGUUCGUGAGAGGUGAGUGGAAUUCCGAGUGUAGAGGUGAAAUCCGUAGAUAUUCGGAGGAACACCAGUGGCGAAGGCGGCUCACUGGCUCGAUACUGACGCUGAGGUGCGAAAGUGUGGGGAGCAAACGGU
Molecule: ribosomal RNA, 253 nt
Filed under: uncultured bacterium
Lineage: Bacteria
Description: partial 16S ribosomal RNA
Rfam family: Bacterial small subunit ribosomal RNA
Source: RNAcentral